UGGGGAAUAUUGGACAAUGGGGGGAACCCUGAUCCAGCCAUGCCGCGUGUGUGAAGAAGGCCUUUUGGUUGUAAAGCACUUUAAGCGAGGAGGAGGCUACUGGUAUUAAUACUACCGGAUAGUGGACGUUACUCGCAGAAUAAGCACCGGCUAACUCUGUGCCAGCAGCCGCGGUAAUACAGAGGGUGCGAGCGUUAAUCGGAUUUACUGGGCGUAAAGCGUGCGUAGGCGGCUUUUUAAGUCGGAUGUGAAAUCCCUGAGCUUAACUUAGGAAUUGCAUUCGAUACUGGGAGGCUAGAGUAUGGGAGAGGAUGGUAGAAUUCCAGGUGUAGCGGUGAAAUGCGUAGAGAUCUGGAGGAAUACCGAUGGCGAAGGCAGCCAUCUGGCCUAAUACUGACGCUGAGGUACGAAAGCAUGGGGAGCAAACAGG
Molecule: ribosomal RNA, 430 nt
Filed under: uncultured bacterium
Lineage: Bacteria
Description: bacterial SSU rRNA
Rfam family: Bacterial small subunit ribosomal RNA
Source: RNAcentral